This is a non-coding RNA of Cricetulus griseus (Chinese hamster), 83 nucleotides long. The record is from Rfam. Lineage: Eukaryota; Metazoa; Chordata; Mammalia; Rodentia; Cricetidae.
GCAAUCACGUUUCCUUAUCACUUUUCCAGCCAGCUUUGUGACUCUAAGUGUUGGACGGAGAACUGAUAAGGGUAGGUGAUUGG